UAAUCCGUUUGUCAAGACUGAGGGGGCAGAGGCAGGGCACAAGUUACCAAAGCCUUUCCCCACCCCCUUCUUCCCCCCACUCAGAGCCAGAUUAAGGAUGGGGCCCCGGGGGACUCGGGGAGAGAGAGAGCAAUGCAGGAGAGUGAAAUCUGCAAGAGAGCUGUGGAGUGUGCUACAGCCUGUCUGUCUGCAAAAAGCCACCCAUCAUGGUCUAGGACGACCAGCAGGAACCUGACCAACAGCCUACCAUAACACUACUCCUGCAGCCUGUUGAUCCUACCCAGCCAACCCAGCAGCAGGAUAUGCCACAAGCAUCCGUAAGCCCCCAAUUGAUUCCAACUCCACCCCAGCAACAAAUGUCCCCUGACUUUUGGAACAGUUGGGCCACACAACAGGUCCAAAACACUGCCUACCUGAACACACACACACACAACACCUUGCCAGUCUGCCCCAUCAUCUUCCUCGCAUUAGUCGGAACUCGGGCAGACUGAUUGUUCAGGUAGGCAGAAUAGCCACUUCAAUGGAGCAAAUCAGGGCAGACAACACUCAAAUGCUUGCCAAUUUAACUCGAAUAAUCGAUGAGCAACAGCGGCAGCAACAAGCCCUAAUACAAGUAAUCCAGCACAACCAAGUAGUGAAUGAAACUUUGUCUAGAAUAAUUGCCAGCCACACUGCCACAAAUAAUCAACUUAAUGCCAGUAUUCACAACCUCAACCAAAGCAUUACAGUGAUGGCAGCCCAACAAGUCAGCUCCAGCUCCGGAACGACUACCCCAAGCCAGACCCCAGUUACCUCCCCUGUUCGACGCUCAAGCAGAACACGGGCCAGCGACCCAGGUCAAACCUCUGCACCCAGCACACACAAAAAAAAAUGAGGAAUGCUUGAAAUUUGUGUAACACAAUAAAAUUUUUGACUAUUGUAUUCCAAAAAA
Pseudophryne corroboree (corroboree frog) is the source of this 931-nucleotide long non-coding RNA. RefSeq lists it as uncharacterized. The transcript has 2 exons. The record is from RefSeq and is a predicted model, not a curated record. NCBI's taxonomy places the organism in Eukaryota, Metazoa, Chordata, Amphibia, Anura, Myobatrachidae.